AGAGUUUGAUCCUGGCUCAGGAUGAACGCUAGCGGCAGGCCUAAUACAUGCAAGUCGAACGCUCAGUAGCAAUACUGGGAGUGGCGCACGGGUGCGUAACGCGUACACAAUCUACCUCUAAGCGGGGGACACCUCCUGGAAACGGGGAUUAAUACCGCAUAAUAUGCCGAAGUCGCAUGACUUUGGUAUUAAAGCAGCAAUGCACUUAGAGAUGAGUGUGCGUCCCAUUAGGUAGUUGGUGAGGUAACGGCUCACCAAGCCUAUGAUGGGUAGCCGGUCUGAGAGGAUGGUCGGCCACACGGGCACUGAGACACGGGCCCGACUCCUACGGGAGGCAGCAGUAAGGAAUAUUGGUCAAUGGUGGAAACACUGAACCAGCCAUGCCGCGUGGAGGAAUAAGGUCCUACGGAUUGUAAACUCCUUUUGACGAGGAAGAAAAUGUUAGAUUUAUCUAAUUUUGACGGUACUCGUAGAAUAAGCACCGGUUAACUCCGUG
RNAcentral lists this ribosomal RNA (496 nucleotides) under uncultured bacterium. RNAcentral describes it as "bacterial SSU rRNA". It matches the Rfam family "Bacterial small subunit ribosomal RNA", at positions 8 to 507 of the family's 1533-position model. The record is from RNAcentral.